GUCGCUCUUCACUAUACUACUACCUGUCGAUACAUUUAUUUUUGGCAUUGCACAAGUCAUGUCUUCUUUGACUAUUAAUGACGUUAAAAUACUAAAUCCCUGUGAUGUGUUUUAGUCGAUUUUAGUAUCUGAUGCAUGAUUUUUUACUAUUAAUUGGUUUUGGCUUUUAACUAGCUGUCAGUAACUGCGAGUACUCUCAAAUCGUAUUUUCUUGUUAAUUCGACCUGUUGAUACUGUUUAUAAUGCUUUUUUUUGUUAUUUUUUAUUUAUAUGGAUCUUGUCUGUACACCAGCUUUGAUUAUUUGUAAUAUCCUCAAUUUUUCACUUAUUCUUACAACAUUUGUAUAAACUUCAAGAUUAUAAAAAACCGGUUUUUUUCUAUAGUGAACAUUGAUUGGUUAAAUAUUUCUCAGUGUGUUUGAAUUUGUUUGUCAGCUUUUUGGUCAUGAAUGUUUGUCUCUAAUAUUUAUUUAACUGUGCAUUUG
This 485-nucleotide long non-coding RNA is filed under the name Mytilus galloprovincialis (Mediterranean mussel). The record is from RNAcentral. Lineage: Eukaryota; Metazoa; Mollusca; Bivalvia; Mytilida; Mytilidae.